AGAGUUUGAUCAUGGCUCAGAACGAACGCUGGCGGCAUGCCUAACACAUGCAAGUCGAACGAGACCUUCGGGUCUAGUGGCGCACGGGUGCGUAACGCGUGGGAAUCUGCCCUUGGGUUCGGAAUAACAGUUAGAAAUGACUGCUAAUACCGGAUAAUGUCUUCGGACCAAAGAUUUAUCGCCCAGGGAUGAGCCCGCGUAGGAUUAGCUAGUUGGUGAGGUAAAGGCUCACCAAGGCGACGAUCCUUAGCUGGUCUGAGAGGAUGAUCAGCCACACUGGGACUGAGACACGGCCCAGACUCCUACGGGAGGCAGCAGUGGGGAAUAUUGGACAAUGGGCGAAAGCCUGAUCCAGCAAUGCCGCGUGAGUGAUGAAGGCCCUAGGGUUGUAAAGCUCUUUUACCAGGGAUGAUAAUGACAGUACCUGGAGAAUAAGCUCCGGCUAACUCCGUG
This 453-nucleotide ribosomal RNA is filed under the name uncultured bacterium. RNAcentral's name for it is "bacterial SSU rRNA". It matches the Rfam family "Bacterial small subunit ribosomal RNA", at positions 8 to 507 of the family's 1533-position model. The record is from RNAcentral.